RNAcentral lists this long non-coding RNA (371 nucleotides) under Phasianus colchicus (ring-necked pheasant). Its description in RNAcentral is "lncRNA (ENSPCLG00000006677.1)". The record is from RNAcentral. Lineage: Eukaryota; Metazoa; Chordata; Aves; Galliformes; Phasianidae.
UGGUUGUCUAGGAAAUUGUCUCUGAAAACAGAAAUGCUAGUGGUAAUGAUGGUUCUUCCCCUGUUUUUCUAGUCAUGAGGCUGUAAACAGUUUUGCAGUGUGUGUUCCUGUUCCUGCAGGCCAAAGACUUCAGGUGGGGAGUGCAAAACAAGGGGCUUCUGCAGGAGAAUCCUCAGAGAUGUUUGCAUGGUUCUCCAACUUCAGCAGUGAGCUUUGUUCAAUUGUGGAUGCUUCAUCUUUAUCAAGGGCCUCCAGCAAUGAAUGCUAUGUGCCAUCCAGCUGAAUCAGUGCCUCUUCUGGACUAAGAUGUGUGAGCCAAGUUGACUUCAGAUAUCCUUUCUUCAUUACUUCCUUACAGAUUUCAGUUAAAC